AAGAAUAAUCAAUAUUGGCAUGUCUAUUACUGUUACGACAACUAUUCAUGUUAUGGAAAAGAUAUGGACUUCCUACAGCUCAUCAUGAAGUAUGCAUUCAUAUACUUAUUUGGUUGUUGAGUAAUUCUUUAACUACCUACCCAUUAUUAUUUAAUGCCACCAAUCAACCUAAAUUAUCCCUUAAACAUUAUUUAUUCAUGCCUACUAAAAGGACAUAACAGUAAAAUACAUAUUACCUAAUCUUAGAAUUGUUGAGAACAAUUCAUGGCAUUUUUCAAUUGGUCCGAAUUUUAUUAUGUCCUUUAUAUCAAUUUUCCCUCUCUUUUCACCCCAUUUAAUUUUUUUUUCUUUAUCAAAAAAGUUUCUCUUUUUCCCUCACUCUCUCUUUUCUCGUCUCCCUGUUUCUCUUUCUUCUUCCUCAUUCAUUUUCUUCUCCUUUCAUCACUUUCCAUUUCUCUUUCUCCCCUUUCAACCAAGUUCUUCUUCCUUUUACAAAGCAACCAUCUCCUUCUUUUCUUUUGUGUUCAUAUUUCAACACGAAAAAUAAAGUAAUGGGCAUGGAAACAAGAUGAAAAAGGUGUACUUUGAUAAUAAAUUUUUGAUUUUUUUUAUCCAACAAUGCCUUUCUUUUUCCCUUAAAUUGAUUAGCUGAUUUGGUAUUGUUUCUGGUUUUGAUUCAAAGUAUAGAACUUUAUGUUAUUGUUAAGUGUAAAAUCUGAUUUUACCUUAUAUGUAUGAAAGUUGAAUACUUUGGAACUUUUUUAUGGUUGUUGGUUUUUGUAGGUGGUAAAGAUGUCUAGAGACCGAAGGCGUCGUGUUUAUUGAUUUUGUUCUUGAUGAUGUUUGGAAAGAAGUUGAAAACAGUAAUUGCUUGCAGGAUAUGGUUUUCAAACUUUUGCUAAUAAUUUUAGAGUUUUGUUGGUUUUUGAAAUUGAUGGGUAUGCUAGUGCCCUUUUGAAAUUUUGAAAUGUGUUUUAAAAAUAAAGUGAAAUUAUACUUGAAAUUGUGUGUAAUUUUGAAGUUGGAUCUAGCCUUUAAUGUCAUGUUGUUUAUUGGAAAUUGAUUUAUUCGUGUCCUUUUGAUGUGUUUUCAUCAACAACAAUUUGAUGUAACCAUUUCACUUGCUCUAACUGAUCGCGACUUUAU
Molecule: long non-coding RNA, 1146 nt
Filed under: Lathyrus oleraceus (garden pea)
Lineage: Eukaryota; Viridiplantae; Streptophyta; Magnoliopsida; Fabales; Fabaceae
Description: Pisum sativum (pea) long non-coding RNA (PSAT_LNC008938)
Source: RNAcentral